This 314-nucleotide long non-coding RNA is filed under the name Mytilus galloprovincialis (Mediterranean mussel). Lineage: Eukaryota; Metazoa; Mollusca; Bivalvia; Mytilida; Mytilidae. The record is from RNAcentral.
CAAACUGUCCAGGUAAAAAUGGCUGAAAGUAAAAAAAGAACAAGUAGAAUUUCCACUAUGUUUUCAUAUGAUUUAAAAAUUUAUAUCAAACACAGCUAAAAUGCUUCAUGAAUCAUUUAACUAUCAAACUGAUGGAAAUCUUUAUAAGAAACAAGAAUGUGUCCAAAGUACACGGAUGCCCCACUCGCACUAUCCUUUUCCAUGUUCCAUGGACUGUGAAAUUGGGUAAUUAUCUAAUUUGGCAUUAAAAUUAGAAAGAUCAUAUCAUAAGCAACAAGUGUACUAAGUUUCAAGUUGAUUGGACUUCAGCUUCA